This 259-nucleotide ribosomal RNA is filed under the name uncultured bacterium. RNAcentral's name for it is "partial 16S ribosomal RNA". It matches the Rfam family "Bacterial small subunit ribosomal RNA", at positions 793 to 1050 of the family's 1533-position model. The record is from RNAcentral.
GUCCACGCUGUAAACGCUGUCAACUAGCUGUUGGUCAUAUAGAUAUGAUUGGUGGCGCAGCUAACGCGUUAAGUUGACCGCCUGGGGAGUACGGUCGCAAGAUUAAAACUCAAAGGAAUUGACGGGGGCCCGCACAAGCGGUGGAGCAUGUGGUUUAAUUCGAUGCAACGCGAAGAACCUUACCUACCCUUGACAUACAAAGAAUUCUGCAGAGAUGCGGGAGUGCCUUCGGGAGCUUUGUUACAGGUGCUGCAUGGCU